UUUCUAUGACAGCCUCUCCUACCACUUGCCACAUCCUCAUCUCUCCUCCAGCUCAAGGAAUAACUGGGCAUUUGGAGGUAGCCACCACAUCACCAUAGAAACUCUCAGCUCCUUCACACAAGGUAAUGUCCAGUCCAAAGCCAACUGGCUUCAGAGACAAAUCACUGCUUGCCCUAUACUGACUACUGACUGGAAACAGCUGAGGAUUCAGGUCUUUGCACUCUUUCACCUUGAGUUGUCUAUAUAAAGAAACACAAAAUGUGUUUUGAAAUAGGAAGGAAAAACAAAAAAAAAACCCAACAAAAAAAGAUAAGGAGGAUGUGGUUAUGCCAUUUACUAAGAGCACUGGUAGGGUAUGGUCUACAAGCAAAUCCUGUCGUGCUCUAUAGAACAACUGGGACCAAAGCAACGCUGCUGAUCUGCUUGCUGGGUUCAGUUGUCUGAAACAAUCCUAGAGCUGCAGGCAAUUCCUUCAAGAAACCCCUGCAAGAUGGAGGAAUUUUCUUCAGAAGACUAGAAAAGAGAAAACCUGGUGCCCGUCUCUUAAAAAGUGGAAAAGGAGGAGACCACUAAGCCUGGCUUCAGCAUUUGGGUAACUAUUGGAAUCACCCACUGAAGAAUCUGUUUGCAAGCACCCAGAAGACAAUGCAGGGGUCAUAGGGAUGGCACUGCUUUCCCCAACACUCUCUACUCCAAGAUGAAGACUCAUCUGUCCAGGAGUGAACUCAGCCACCACUGGACUGCACACACCAAGCUCGAACAGACCUGCAGUAAAUCUGCUCCGGAGCACUAGGAUGUCAUCUGUGUUGCCUGAUCUAUACCAACUGACAUACUUUACUCUAAAAAUUAGCCCUCACCCAGUGGCUGGCACCUCCUCCACACCAUGCCAGCUGCUUUUACAUACACUGCCUGUGCUGAACAGUGCUUACUCAUUUAAGCCACAACAGGCAGUGCUGUGGGGAGACAAGACAUGCUUGCAGAACUUGUGGCAAGAUGCAGGUGUCUUGAAGCAACCAUGUCCUGCCAUUUAUCUUCUCCUCACCCCACCUCACCACUUCUGCAAGUCCUCUUUUAGCCAGCAUUUUGGGCCCCAGCCCUGGACCCUGUGGACAGCUUCCCAUGGGUCAAGGAGCAUCAUCCCACAGGUAUGAGAGAUCCUACCCAUGACAGCCCCUUUGCAGCCUGCUCCAUAGCACCCAGAAGUGCUGCCAAAGGCAGGCUGCUGCUUGUGAGCUCUUAGGUUUGUGGGAGGUUUGAAAAAUCAGUUGGUUUUCCCCCCAUUUCCUGAAGUACAACAACUUCAUGGACAGACGGAUGUCCAUGUUUAAAGAAUAAGUGGAAAUCUGCUUUUCUUCUUCAUUUUUAAGCCCCUAGUUACUGCUUCCAUUUUCAUAUUUCCUGAGACAUGGCAAACUACUCUUGUGAGUAAGAGAUGUUGCUCCACAGUUAAUCUUCUUUCCAAUCAAAACUGCAUUUACCUAGUUCAGUGCAUGGGUAAAGGGCUGUUACAGUUCUGAAACUGCAAACAACAGCAUUGAUGGAUAUGAUCACCACAUCAAGAUUGCACACCGCAAACUGUCCUCCUUUUAAAAAGAAUGCAGCUUUAAGUAAACACAAGACAUUCCAGAUAAAGCUAAUAGAAAGAGCAGAGAAAGGAUGUAGGCUGUCUGGUUAUGUGAGAUACAUAUAUAUAUAUGUAUAUAUUACAGAUAUAGAGAUAUUUUAUCUUUUGUACAAUGUGCUAAAAUGAGAGUAGGGUUUCAUUUGGGCCCCCAAGAGCAGUGCCAGGGCUCAGUGUCACUUUUCGGUUCCCCAGAGGUCCUCUCAGAAGCUUUGUUUCUUAGCUGCAUUUUACCACACAGUCUCCUGACUGAACUGCUCCAACCUCAAGCAAAGCGCCCUCUACUGCAAUGUCAAAUAAACUAUAGAGGCUCCCUCAAUAGUCACUGAAGAGCUUGUGGCAUCUCCAGGGAGCAAUUCAGCUUUUUUAGGGUCUGGAUUGCCCUCAACAAGAGUCACUCCAUCCUCUUGCAGGACAGAAGGCUACUUGAACAUUUGGGCUCUCAGAUCACCUGUCUGUGUCCUCCACAUCUGCUGGACCCUUGCAUAUCUAUAUGUUGCCAAUGAAACCAUACAGAUGCUUAUUAGGCAUCUCUGCCACCCUAGUCACCUCAUUACUGACAAAGAUGCAGCCAGCAAUUAUUCCAGAAGCUAGCUGAGCUCUGGAAAGACCAUGCAUGACUACCCUUGUAGGUUAAUAGGAAUCCAAACAGUCAUUAGUAUCUCUAUUAAAUUGACUAAUUGUCGGGUGUUAUUGGGAAAAACGAAGAUUCCAGUGUUUUGCUGAAACCUUCAAUCCAUUUAUUUACUGAGUAAGCAUAACUGUAAUUUGUUUCCCCUUUCCUUGAGUAUACUUUGGCUGGGGAAUUUUCCUCAGUAUUUCCUACAAUCAUACCAAUGCCUGUGGAAUAUACCACUUCUUUUAAUACGAUCCUCAUACCUCAGCUUUAAUCUUCUACAGAGCACUGCCUUUUCUCUGCUUCCACUGCACUGCAGCAUCUUAAGUGUGCUCAGCACAUUACAGUUUCAGUAAAAUCAGAGAACUCUGAACAUCUCCAGCUAUCUCUUUCUAACUUAACUGAAAUCAUACUGCAAAGCAGGGCCUGUGACACAAUUGCCUUGAAACCAUAGGAGAUCACUCGACUGGUUUAAAUAUGACUGUGGUUCUUUUGGCUUUUUUCCAUGUAACAACAAGCACUAAGCUCAAUAAAGACAGUAAAAUUAUUACCAGGAAAUAAAACCUUCAAAACCUGUUUCUCUUUAGGCUUUUGUAGUAAAAACACAAAGGAAUCCUGAGAAUUAAAUCUUUUUUCUUAGAAGUAGACAGUGUGAUUCAUUUUGAGUCACAAACGUCCCUAAAUGAAUCUAAAUCACAUUUGCCUAAUUUACAAAGAGAAACCUAUUCUUUCUUCUAUUUUGAAUUCCACCACUGGAAAUUCAGCUUGGGGAAUUCAGCUGGAUCAUUGCUUAGUUACAUAUCCCCGUCAAACAAAUUCUGUGCUGACUAAACUCCCUAGAAAUCCAUUUCACUGCUAUUUUCUGGCAACACACAGACAUAAGGAGGGACCAAAGCUGACGCUACAGCUAGAGCCUCACCAGCAAGGAUGCUGACAAUGUGAGAGAAUGAGCACAUGGCUCCCUUUCUACGCUCAUACUGGAGAGCAAACCCCUGCUCUCUCUUACACCAUUAUUCAUUUAGAACACAGCCUAAUGCUUCUAGUAUCAUCACUUGUGGGUUUCAGUCUAACUCAGUGGGAAUUGCCCCUGUGUUGGCUCAAUACUGCAGACAGGAGAAAAACAGAAGCAAAAAAGUCCUACCAUCAAUUAAAGUAUUUCAUAAGUGCACCAAGUACCAAGUCUAUUACGUAUAAAAUGUGUCCAGGUAGCUCUUUAGAGACAGAAUUUGCUAUCACCACCUUCAGCAAACCAACCAGUGAGAAUUCUCUCCUGUGAAAACCUGACAAGACUUAACCUUAGCUUGUAAACAGAGAACAUAAAUCAUGCUCUGUCUCCCAGCAUCCAGUAGGUGGGAAUUAGCAGAGAGACAUUUCCCUACUUUCAGCCUUCAGCUACACCUUGCUUCCAGACUUUUGCCCUUGAAACACCCUUGGUCAUGCAUCAAUGGCUUGGUUUUAUUGUCUCCUGCUUUUAAGCUGCUGUCUUUGACUUUCUGGUGCAUUCUUCCUACAAUUUCACCUUUGGACAUAUCAAGAGGUGUGACCAGCUAAAUCUUUCAUCCUGUUUGCAACCAGUGCACCCACUGAUGAAAACUCUUUUCAAUGUUAACACCAAAUAUUG
Molecule: RNA transcript, 3858 nt
Organism: Pezoporus occidentalis (night parrot)
Lineage: Eukaryota; Metazoa; Chordata; Aves; Psittaciformes; Psittacidae
Gene: GPR55
Gene name: G protein-coupled receptor 55
Exons: 3
Source: RefSeq, a predicted model, not a curated record